GUGCCAGCAGCCGCGGUACUACCGGCAGCUCAAGUGAUGUCCCAUAUUAUUGGGCCUAAAGCGUCCGUAGCUGGCCGACCAAGUCUCCCGGGAAAUCCACCCGCCCAACGGGUGGGCGUCCGGUAGAAACUACACGGCUUGGGGCCGAGAGACUCAACGGGUACGUCCGGGGUAGGAGUGAAAUCCUGUAAUCCUGGACGGACCACCAAUGGGGAAACCACGUUGAGAGAUCGGACCCGACGGUGAGGGACGAAAGCUAGGGUCUCGAACCGGAUUAGAUACCCUAGUAGUCC
This 293-nucleotide ribosomal RNA is filed under the name uncultured bacterium. Its description in RNAcentral is "partial 16S ribosomal RNA". It matches the Rfam family "Archaeal small subunit ribosomal RNA", at positions 455 to 747 of the family's 1478-position model. The record is from RNAcentral.